UUCCAUCUGGAAGAAUCUGGAGACAGGUGCUGCAUGGCUGUCGUCAGCUCGUGUCGUGAGAUGUUGGGUUAAGUCCCGCAACGAGCGCAACCCUUGCCUUUAGUUGCCAGCAGUUCGGCUGGGCACUCUAAAGGGACUGCCGGUGUUAAACCGGAGGAAGGUGGGGAUGACGUCAAGUCCUCGUGGCCUUUAUGACCAGGGCUACACACGUACUACAAUGGCCGAUACAAAGGGCAGCGACACUGCGAGGUGAAGCCAAUCCCGUAAAAUCGGUCUCAGUCCGGAUUGGAGUCUGCAACUCGACUCCAUGAAGUUGGAAUCGCUAGUAAUCGUGGAUCAGCAUGCCACGGUGAAUACGUUCCCGGGCCUU
Molecule: ribosomal RNA, 370 nt
Filed under: uncultured Desulfobulbus sp.
Lineage: Bacteria; Pseudomonadati; Thermodesulfobacteriota; Desulfobulbia; Desulfobulbales; Desulfobulbaceae
Description: bacterial SSU rRNA
Rfam family: Bacterial small subunit ribosomal RNA
Source: RNAcentral